GACGAACGCUGGCGGCGUGCUUAACACAUGCAAGUCGAACGGAAAGGCCCUGCUUUUGUGGGGUGCUCGAGUGGCGAACGGGUGAGUAACACGUGAGUAACCUGCCCUUGACUUUGGGAUAACUUCAGGAAACUGGGGCUAAUACCGGAUAGGAGCUCCUGCUGCAUGGUGGGGGUUGGAAAGUUUCGGCGGUUGGGGAUGGACUCGCGGCUUAUCAGCUUGUUGGUGGGGUAGUGGCUUACCAAGGCUUUGACGGGUAGCCGGCCUGAGAGGGUGACCGGCGCGAUGGGGAGGGAGUGGGGGACGAGACUCACAGGGGAGGCAGCGUUGGGGAAGAUGGCCGAAGGGGGGGAGGCCUGCUGCAGCAACGCGGCGGGCGGGAUGGGGGACGGCGGGUUGGAAACCGCUGUCGCCUGGGACGAAGCGUGUGUGAGGGGAAUGGGUGAAGAGGCACGGGCUAAGUACGGG
This 468-nucleotide ribosomal RNA is filed under the name uncultured bacterium. Its description in RNAcentral is "partial 16S ribosomal RNA". It matches the Rfam family "Bacterial small subunit ribosomal RNA", at positions 28 to 507 of the family's 1533-position model. The record is from RNAcentral.